This 91-nucleotide transfer RNA is filed under the name Anaerotignum propionicum. RNAcentral describes it as "tRNA-Ser". It matches the Rfam family "tRNA". From Rfam's summary of the family: Transfer RNA (tRNA) molecules are approximately 80 nucleotides in length. Their secondary structure includes four short double-helical elements and three loops (D, anti-codon, and T loops). RNAcentral also lists the same sequence under 6 other names. Lineage: Bacteria; Bacillati; Bacillota; Clostridia; Lachnospirales; Anaerotignaceae. The record is from RNAcentral.
GGAGAAGUACCCAAGUGGUUGAAGGGGUUCGCCUGGAAAGCGGAUAGGUCGUUAACGCGGCGCGAGGGUUCAAAUCCCUCCUUCUCCGCCA